Molecule: RNA transcript, 2838 nt
Organism: Tarenaya hassleriana
Lineage: Eukaryota; Viridiplantae; Streptophyta; Magnoliopsida; Brassicales; Cleomaceae
Gene name: probable methyltransferase PMT5
Exons: 10
Source: RefSeq, a predicted model, not a curated record
AUGUGUUUUCGUCGUGGAUGAUUGGUUCUUCCGGCAUUCACUUUUGAUCUGAUCUCUGAUCCUCAUCACCAUUUUCGAGAUCUCAUCUUUUCGGAUUUGGGAUUGGGUUUAGCCACAGAACCAGAAAGCUUUUUCGGGCUUCUUUUGCUUGAUGAUAACGGGGAUUUUUAGAAGAAAAGGAAGUGGUCGAUCUGCUGCGUCCCAGGUUCGUUUCCAUAAUCGCCAUCGCCGAGUUGUGUUCAAUUGCCAACAUCGAGGUUUAACGAAGGCGCGUGUGUUUUUGUUCUGAAUUCUGCGUACAUUUGCCGCGUUCUUCCUGAUUUGAUCCAUAGAAGCGAAACUCCGCAUUGUUCCUUGGAUUCUGGUCACUGUUCAUGACCACCUUUUACGGGAGUUCGUGUUGAUUUUACCGAAUUUCCGUAGAUGUGAAUCGGGAUUGGCUAGAUCAGACAAUUAUUCAGUACGGGAAACUAUGUACGGAUGCAUAUGGAACUUGUUAGAAGCUUGUGUGUUAUGAAGAAAAGCUGAUGACAAACCCUCGGAUAAGAAAAGAAGAAUCCUUAGAUAGUAAAUUUGUAUUGAGGUAGCCAUUAACGGGGUUAAAGAAGAGGAGUUUUCGAUAUGAGAAGUCCCAGGUAUAAGGGCUUUCCCCUCAUUUUUGGUCCUAGACCACGGAUCAGCUGGUUGCUGUUAGUUAUUAUUGGUGUUGUUGCUCUAGUUACCAUCUUAGGAACAUCUACAUCAUCCAGUUCAUAUGAUUAUGCAACUUCAGCACGGAUACCCAGCUUUUAUAGCAACUACAGAAGGAUAAAGGAGCAAGCAGCUGUUGAUUAUCUGGAUCUAAGUUCUCUCUCUUUCGAGGCUAGUCGGUUUAAAGAGUUUCCCUUGUGUGGUAAAGAGAAGGAAAAUCAUGUACCUUGUUACAACGUAUCAUCCAAUAUGCUUGCUGGGCUUAAAGACGAUGAGGAGUUUGACCGACACUGUGAGCUUGAAAGAGAAGAGAAAAGAUGUGUAGUCCGACUGCCAAAGGACUAUAAGAUACCCCUUAGAUGGCCGCUUGGUAGAGAUAUUAUAUGGAGCGGAAAUGUGAAGAUAACCAAAGACCAGUUUCUUUCAUCAGGAACCAUGACAAAAAGGUUAAUGUUGCUUGAAGAGAAUCAAAUUGCAUUUCACUCAGAGGAUGGUUUGAUCUUUGAUGGCGUCAAAGACUAUGCCCGUCAAAUUGCAGAGAUGAUAGGCUUAGGAAGUGACACUGAAUUUCUCGAAGCAGGCGUACGGACUGUGCUAGACAUCGGUUGUGGCUUUGGUAGCUUUGGAGCACAUCUCGUGUCUUUGAAGUUGAUGCCUAUCUGUAUUGCAGAGUAUGAAGCCACUGGUAGCCAAGUCCAGUUAGCUCUAGAGAGAGGACUUCCUGCCAUGAUUGCCAAUUUCAUUUCGAAACAGCUUCCAUAUCCAGCUUUGUCGUUUGACAUGGUCCAUUGUGCUCAAUGUGGCAUUAUUUGGGAUAUAAAAGAUGCAAUGCUGCUCUUAGAAGUGGAUCGUGUUCUCAAGCCUGGGGGAUACUUUGUUUUAACUUCUCCUACGAGCAAAUCACAGGGAAAUUUGCCGAGUACUAAGAAAACAAGCAUCUCAACACGGGUUGAUGAGCUAUCUAAGAAUAUUUGCUGGAGUCUCAUUGCUCAGCAGGAUGAAACUUUUCUUUGGCAAAAGACAGCGGAUUCAAAUUGCUAUUCUUCUCGCCCGCAAGCUUCUAUACCUCUUUGCAAAGAUGGAGAGAGUAUUCCAUACUAUGGCCCCCUAGUUUCAUGUAUUAGUGGAACCACAAGCAAACGCUGGAUUUCUAUUCAGAACAGUUCCACUGCUUGGGGAACAAGACCAGCAGAGUUUGAAGUUCAUGGUAUCAAACCUGAAGAAUUCUUUGAGGACAUGCAAGUAUGGAGGCUAGCCCUGAAAAACUAUUGGUCUUUGCUUACACCUUUAAUUUUCUCAGACCACCCGAAGAGACCGGGUGAUGAAGAUCCACUCCCUCCUUUCAACAUGGUACGCAACGUGAUGGACAUGAAUGCACGUUAUGGGAAUUUGAAUGCCGCCCUGCUUGAAGAAGGAAAAUCUGCGUGGGUGAUGAAUGUGAUCCCAGUAAAUUCCCGCAAUACUCUUCCUAUGGUUCUUGAUCGUGGUUUUGCCGGUGUUCUUCAUGACUGGUGUGAACCAUUCCCCACAUAUCCUCGGACAUAUGAUAUGCUUCAUGCCAAUGAACUUCUCACCCAUCUUAGUUCAGAAAGGUGUAGCCUGAUGGACCUGUUCUUGGAGAUGGACCGGAUUCUCCGCCCUGAGGGAUGGGUUGUUAUCAGCGACAAGCUGGGGGUAAUAGAGAUGGCAAGAGCAUUUGCCACUAGAGUGCGAUGGGAAGCACGGGUCAUCGACAUUCAGGAUGGAAGUGACCAGCGGCUUCUCGUCUGUCAGAAACCUUUCCUGAAAAAGUAACUCAGGCGACAUCAACGUGCAUCUCUCACCCAUCAAACACAAAGUACAGUCUUCUUCACCUAGUGCUCUUCAGAAGACUGAGGGAACCAAAGAUGAGGAGGCUGUAGAAAAUGGAAAGUGAGGUCCACAGAGAAUAGAAGUAGAUUCAAGAUUCUUUGAUUUUUCUUUCCUUUUUUUUUCUGGACAAAACUGUAGCUUUAUUAUUUCCAUUCCAUUUUUUUUCAUCAUUCACAAUUUUUCCAUGUGUUUUUUUUUCUGCCUCCCUAUUGUUUUGCGAUGCCACUGAACAGUCAGAAGAAGUUGUAAUACCACUAGUUUUCGGCUGAAUAUGCUUCAAGCUCUACUUUCUCUUCA